Molecule: long non-coding RNA, 401 nt
Organism: Suricata suricatta (meerkat)
Lineage: Eukaryota; Metazoa; Chordata; Mammalia; Carnivora; Herpestidae
Exons: 3
Source: RefSeq, a predicted model, not a curated record
ACUUCUUCUUUGUGGUGGUGUGGCCUCAGUUUCCCCGGCGGACUCGAGUCCUAGACCAGGAACUCCAGCACGCACCAGAGACAGGAUCCACUGAAGAGCCUUUUCUGACAUCCUCAUUUGUUCUGCUGUGUAAUAGCAUGGGAUCUUUCAGAGCUGUCGACAUCUGCUCCACUCUAGAGAGCUGCAGAACCGAGCCAGCAAAGCAAUAAUAAUUAUGCCCAAAUGGACUGCAAAGGAGGAGUUCCUAAUCAAGGGAAAUGAGUGAGUGUACAACUCACCCAAUGUGGUGGAUGAUGCACUGGAGAUACCAACAUACUGCUAAGGACAUAAGCCCGGACAACAUUAGAGCCAGAAGAUCUUAAUUCGAAUCUCUUCGCUUUUAUGGACUGGUAUGCAACCUU